CCAUUUUGUCGACUACAUUUACAGCUUGCGCACUCUUUUUCUCAGAUUUCCACUCGAUCCGAGUCACCUACAGGCACAGAGAGACAGAGAUUUGGGUUAUGCAAUGACUUUGAAUUAUCCUUAGCCAUACAGUGCUCAACAUUUCACGACAGGAGUUGUACCUUUCUUAUGCUCGGAUCUGUGGGUCUGACACGCUUUGCUUCUGUUUCUACUUUGCAGACAUCAGAUCCGUGAGCCGUCUACACACAUUUUAACUCACAAAAAUUUGGUGUCUUGUUGCCUCUCUCUUUUGUUGUGGAUCCACGUACUCUCGCAGAAACAAAGGCAUGCAUGCAUUAGUUUUUUUUUUUCCAUGAAAAGAAGCUCACUGGAACUAAAUGACAGCAUGGAACGAUUUUUUUUUACCUUUAGCAUUUCAGGAUUCCCGACCGAGCUCC
Molecule: long non-coding RNA, 437 nt
Filed under: Malus domestica (apple)
Lineage: Eukaryota; Viridiplantae; Streptophyta; Magnoliopsida; Rosales; Rosaceae
Description: long non-coding RNA (MDOM_LNC010982)
Source: RNAcentral